This 448-nucleotide ribosomal RNA is filed under the name uncultured bacterium. RNAcentral's name for it is "bacterial SSU rRNA". It matches the Rfam family "Bacterial small subunit ribosomal RNA", at positions 329 to 794 of the family's 1533-position model. The record is from RNAcentral.
UGCCAGACUCCUACGGGAGGCAGCAGUGGGGAAUAUUGCACAAUGGGGGAAACCCUGAUGCAGCGACGCCGCGUGAGCGAAGAAGUACCUCGGUAUGUAAAGCUCUCUCAGCAGGGAAGAAGAUGACGGUACCUGACCAAGAAGCUCCGGCUAAAUACGUGCCAGCAGCCGCGGUAAUACGUAUGGAGCAAGCGUUAUCCGGAUUUACUGGGUGUAAAGGGAGCGCAGGCGGCCUUGCAAGUCUGAUGUGAAAGGCCGGGGCCCAACCCCGGGACUGCUCUGGAAACUGCGGCGCUGGAGUACGGGAGGGGCAGGCGGAAUUCCUGGUGUAGCGGUGAAAUGCGUAGAUAUCAGGAGGAACACCGGCGGCGAAGGCGGCCUGCUGGACCGUGACUGACGUUGAGGCUCGAGAGCGUGGGGAGCAAACAGGAUUAGAUACCCGAGUAGG